This 253-nucleotide ribosomal RNA is filed under the name uncultured bacterium. RNAcentral describes it as "partial 16S ribosomal RNA". It matches the Rfam family "Bacterial small subunit ribosomal RNA", at positions 524 to 776 of the family's 1533-position model. The record is from RNAcentral.
UACGUAGGGGGCAAGCGUUAUCCGGAUUUACUGGGUGUAAAGGGAGCGUAGACGGCAGUGCAAGUCUGGGGUGAAAGGCGGGGGCUCAACCCCCAGACUGCUCUGGAAACUGUACGGCUGGAGUGCAGGAGAGGUAAGUGGAAUUCCUAGUGUAGCGGUGAAAUGCGUAGAUAUUAGGAGGAACACCAGUGGCGAAGGCGGCUUACUGGACUGUAACUGACGUUGAGGCUCGAAAGCGUGGGGAGCAAACAGG